GGCAUUCGCUGGGGGUGUUGGGUCCGUCCGCGGGCCCGACUGAGACAGUCCCUUUGAACCUGAUUGAGGUAAUCCUCGCGCAGGGAAGCUUGGUUGACGCCGC
Molecule: non-coding RNA, 103 nt
Filed under: Pseudideonella sakaiensis
Lineage: Bacteria; Pseudomonadati; Pseudomonadota; Betaproteobacteria; Burkholderiales; Sphaerotilaceae
Description: Ideonella sakaiensis TPP sequence
Rfam family: TPP riboswitch aptamer (THI element)
About the family: Vitamin B(1) in its active form thiamin pyrophosphate (TPP) is an essential coenzyme that is synthesised by coupling of pyrimidine and thiazole moieties in bacteria. The previously detected thiamin-regulatory element, thi box was extended, resulting in a new, highly conserved RNA secondary structure, the THI element, which is widely distributed in eubacteria and also occurs in some archaea.
Source: Rfam by way of RNAcentral